This 1000-nucleotide ribosomal RNA is filed under the name Enterococcus gallinarum. RNAcentral's name for it is "bacterial SSU rRNA". It matches the Rfam family "Bacterial small subunit ribosomal RNA", at positions 77 to 1056 of the family's 1533-position model. Lineage: Bacteria; Bacillati; Bacillota; Bacilli; Lactobacillales; Enterococcaceae. The record is from RNAcentral.
AGCUUGCUCCAUCGAAAGAAAAAGAGUGGCGAACGGGUGAGUAACACGUGGGUAACCUGCCCAUCAGAAGGGGAUAACACUUGGAAACAGGUGCUAAUACCGUAUAACACUAUUUUCCGCAUGGAAGAAAGUUGAAAGGCGCUUUUGCGUCACUGAUGGAUGGACCCGCGGUGCAUUAGCUAGUUGGUGAGGUAACGGCUCACCAAGGCAACGAUGCAUAGCCGACCUGAGAGGGUGAUCGGCCACACUGGGACUGAGACACGGCCCAGACUCCUACGGGAGGCAGCAGUAGGGAAUCUUCGGCAAUGGACGAAAGUCUGACCGAGCAACGCCGCGUGAGUGAAGAAGGUUUUCGGAUCGUAAAACUCUGUUGUUAGAGAAGAACAAGGAUGAGAGUAAAAUGUUCAUCCCUUGACGGUAUCUAACCAGAAAGCCACGGCUAACUACGUGCCAGCAGCCGCGGUAAUACGUAGGUGGCAAGCGUUGUCCGGAUUUAUUGGGCGUAAAGCGAGCGCAGGCGGUUUCUUAAGUCUGAUGUGAAAGCCCCCGGCUCAACCGGGGAGGGUCAUUGGAAACUGGGAGACUUGAGUGCAGAAGAGGAGAGUGGAAUUCCAUGUGUAGCGGUGAAAUGCGUAGAUAUAUGGAGGAACACCAGUGGCGAAGGCGGCUCUCUGGUCUGUAACUGACGCUGAGGCUCGAAAGCGUGGGGAGCGAACAGGAUUAGAUACCCUGGUAGUCCACGCCGUACACGAUGAGUGCUAAGUGUUGGAGGGUUUCCGCCCUUCAGUGCUGCAGCAAACGCAUUAAGCACUCCGCCUGGGGAGUACGACCGCAAGGUUGAGACUCAAAGGAAUUGACGGGGGCCCGCACAAGCGGUGGAGCAUGUGGUUUAAUUCGAAGCAACGCGAAGAACCUUACCAGGUCUUGACAUCCUUUGACCACUCUAGAGAUAGAGCUUCCCCUUCGGGAGCAAAGUGACACGUGGUGCAUGGUUGUCAUC